This 248-nucleotide ribosomal RNA is filed under the name uncultured bacterium. RNAcentral describes it as "partial 16S ribosomal RNA". It matches the Rfam family "Bacterial small subunit ribosomal RNA", at positions 335 to 598 of the family's 1533-position model. The record is from RNAcentral.
AACCUACGGGAGGCAGCAGUGGGGAAUAUUGGGCAAUGGGCGCAAGCCUGACCCAGCAACGCCGCGUGACGGAAGAAGGCCCUCGGGUUGUAAACUUCUUUUAUUCGGGACGAAACAAAUGACGGUACCUGCAGAGGAAGCCACGGCUAACUACGUGCCAGAAGCCGCGGUAAUACGUAGGUGGCAAGCGUUGUUCGGAAUAACUGGGCGUAAAGGAUGCGUAGGCGGUUAAAUCAGUUAUAUGUUAA